This 65-nucleotide transfer RNA is filed under the name Teispes insularis. Its description in RNAcentral is "tRNA-Arg". Lineage: Eukaryota; Metazoa; Arthropoda; Insecta; Coleoptera; Cerambycidae. The record is from RNAcentral.
AAAUAAGAAGCAAAAUUUGCAUUUAGUUUCGGCCUAAAAGUUUGAUGGUCGCCCAUCCUUAUUUA